AAGUCGUAACAAGGUUUCCGUAGGUGAACCUGCGGAAGGAUCAUUAACAAAUCUUGGUGUUGGAUAGGGAGGGGAGUAUUGUUGUUACCCUUUGUGGGUGGCAGUGAUACUAACUUGAAUUAUCCACAAACCACAUUGACUCGGGCGCACGCUUAAGCCUUGAUGUUUAUUCAUUAUAGCUUGGUGUGAUUGCCCUGAGACAUACACGCUUGUUUUGUUUGACAGAGUAAAAGGUUACACAGAGAAAUAUAUACAACUUUUAACAAUGGAUCUCUUGGCUCUU
Molecule: unclassified non-coding RNA, 283 nt
Filed under: air metagenome
Description: partial contains small subunit ribosomal RNA, internal transcribed spacer 1, and 5.8S ribosomal RNA
Rfam family: Eukaryotic small subunit ribosomal RNA (bases 1-46)
Source: RNAcentral